ACCCAUCAUUGUCCAGGGGUUUGAGAGAAGGCCUUUUAUUACUGUAUUUCUUUUCCCUUUCCUCAAAGAAACCUCCACCCAGCUCGGGUGCCAGUGCAGCUGAGGACCAGCCUAAUCCUGCCACACUCACUGCUGCAGAAGGUGCAAGGAAAGCUUUGUUACUUCGUGGGGGCUGAUGAGCAGAAGCACAAGAGGCUCAGAACUGCCGGGAGGGAGGGUUGAUCGCUACUGGAACCAGCUGUUAGCUCCAGGUGGUAGGGCUUCCCCAGGUGAGACGCGUGAUGGGCCAGGCAGGAGGCUACAAAAAGGGGCUGGAUGGCAGGUUCUUGGUUUUGGAUGGGAAAGGACCGGUGAGGAAGAUGGGGGCUGUCUUCUUUUAGCUGGGUUUUCACCAGAGCAGCGGAGCUUUGAUUCAAAGCGUUGCAGAGAAAAGGGUGCACUGCAAAAGCGUCUGCUCUUAGAAACUUAA
Molecule: long non-coding RNA, 469 nt
Filed under: Anser brachyrhynchus (Pink-footed goose)
Lineage: Eukaryota; Metazoa; Chordata; Aves; Anseriformes; Anatidae
Description: lncRNA (ENSABRG00000021446.1)
Source: RNAcentral